This 327-nucleotide ribosomal RNA is filed under the name uncultured eukaryote. RNAcentral's name for it is "partial 18S ribosomal RNA". It matches the Rfam family "Eukaryotic small subunit ribosomal RNA", at positions 1470 to 1796 of the family's 1831-position model. The record is from RNAcentral.
CCCUUAGAUGUUCUGGGCCGCACGCGCGCUACACUGAAGGAGGCAGCAUGUACUCCUGGAUCGAAAGAUUUGGGUAACCCGCGAAUCUCCUUCGUGCUAGGGAUUGAGGUUUGCAAUUAUCCUUCAUGAACGAGGAAUUCCCAGUAAGUGCAAGUCAUAAGCUUGCGCUGACUACGUCCCUGCCCUUUGUACACACCGCCCGUCGCUACUACCGAUUGAAUGAUUUAGUGAGGACUUCGGACUGGGACCGAUGCGGCUUUCGGGCUGCGUCGGUAUUCUGGAAAGAUGUCCAAACUGUAUCAUUUAGAGGAAGUAAAAGUCGUAACA